Long non-coding RNA from Hipposideros armiger (great roundleaf bat), 1414 nucleotides. RefSeq lists it as uncharacterized. The record is from RefSeq and is a predicted model, not a curated record. The transcript is spliced from 2 exons. NCBI's taxonomy places the organism in Eukaryota, Metazoa, Chordata, Mammalia, Chiroptera, Hipposideridae.
GGGGGGGGGGGAGGAACGGGACUUCCUCCUUCAUGGCUCCUCAUCAAAUUGGGCCCCCAGGGCAAAGCAUCACUUCACUGGUCUGAUUGGGACUCAGGCCCUUCGCACCAGACUGUGAAAUCCCCUAGAAAGAACUGCCCAAGGAGCAAGGGCUGUGCCUCCACCUUCAAGGUGGGCAUUCUCUGAGGUCAAGGGUUUUGCCUUCCCUGUCAGACUGACCAUGUUCCUAGAGCAGGGACUAUGCCUCCACUGUUAGACCGGAGGUCCCCCCAGGACAGGGGGUAGAUCCCUUCCCAGGGGAGGCCCCUCCUCGAGGUGGCCAGGCCGCUGACUCUUACUGGGACAGGGUCCUAUCACUUCAGGGCCCUACACAGGACCUGCCCCAGGAUGAGGGCUUCAGGAAUCACGAGGGAAUGAAUGAGUGAAUGAAUGAACCAAUCAACAAGUGCAGGCAGACCCCAAAUUAAACCUUGCAAUCUCACCUGACCAGCAGGUGGCAUCAGGACUCAGAACCAAAGGAAAGCUGGAGGGGCAUGGAGAUGUUACUGGUCACUCUAUCGGAGAGCAGAGCAGGUGUUUCAAGAUCCUGCACCACCCAGGACCAGCAGCUGAGGGUCCUAAGGAGGUGCUGGGUUUGAGACCUGCUGGGGAGGCCACAAAGCGAGUGCCUGGCACCACACUCUCCCCUCCUCCCCUCCCCUCAAGCCAGUGCCAGGGGCCAGCCUCUGUGCAGGGCUUGGAAAAUGGCCAACGAGACCAGAUGCUAAUGACUCUUGUCCGAUUCAACACCAGACCAGAAAAAACAGCACGAAGUAGGCAUGAACUAAAGAGGGAGACCAAGCUGACCCUUUCUGUGGUCCCACACUCCCACCUCCCGUCCAUCCCCUAUGCCAGGUCACAGGCACCCAUCCCUGGGUCCAGGAGAAUUCAUACCCUAGAUGCAGUGUUGCCAUCACCCACCAAUGCCUUCAGAAAGGAAUGGGGAGGGGGAUCAAGAGAGGCCUGGAGGGCGGCCCCCCACGUACACCCUGUUCUGGCCUCUGGACAGCUUGGGUGUCAGUCAGGCGCCAGGCCCAGCUCCCCGCUCCUUGGUCUCACAAUCCCAGCCUUUGUCCAGCCGGCCCAGGCCUGGCGGGUUGCAUACUGGCCCAAUGGGCCCUGGAAACCAGAGCAGCUGGAACCCCACCAAGUAUUUUUCCAGGCUAGGCCAAGGGCCCUCAAGAGACAGAGAAGGAUGCAAAGGGAGGGGGUGUUCAUUCAUCCGUUUGUUCAUUCAUUUCUUCCUUGGACAAAUAAUAUUUAUUGAACACCCACUUUGCGGCAGGCACUGUGCUAGUUGUGGGGGAUUCAGUGAUAGGCCCGGCCCAAACCCAAGCCCUCAUCCAUCUUAUUUCCCAGAUGCCACUAUAUGCCA